AUGGAUAUGCUGCUUCAGGAAAUGGCAGAUGAAGGUAUCUCUUUCUUUCUAGUUCAGCUGAAAAUCCUACCAGAGGAAGAGCAAAGUUGGAAUGAAAAGUUCCCAAUAAAUUACUACAGGCAUUUACUAAAGGCAGAAAAAAAAAGAAAUACUGGUCAAGCUGACCUUUUUACAACCAGGACAAAGCUUAAAGGCAAAUGAUGUGUUUUCAAGCCAAAGAUGAGUGUAAAGUGGCUGAUACAGGCAUAACUCAGAGACAUAGUAUGUUGGGUUCCAGACCACUACUAUAAAGUGAAUAUCACAAUAAAGUGAGUCACAAAAUAUUUUUUAGUUU
RNAcentral lists this long non-coding RNA (334 nucleotides) under Pan troglodytes (chimpanzee). RNAcentral describes it as "lncRNA (ENSPTRG00000053271.1)". The record is from RNAcentral. Lineage: Eukaryota; Metazoa; Chordata; Mammalia; Primates; Hominidae.